RNAcentral lists this ribosomal RNA (2750 nucleotides) under Corallinales sp. RNAcentral describes it as "partial 28S ribosomal RNA". It matches the Rfam family "Eukaryotic large subunit ribosomal RNA", at positions 71 to 2801 of the family's 3401-position model. The record is from RNAcentral. Lineage: Eukaryota; Rhodophyta; Florideophyceae; Corallinales.
AGGAUUCCCUUAGUAGCGGCGAGCGAAGCGGGAAGAGGCCGAGAUGAAAAUCCUUUCGGGGAGUUGUAAUCUGGUUCAUGUUGAGAGUUCAGUGAAUGUAAGUCACAUGGAAUUGUGUACCGUGGAGGGUGAGAGUCCCGUCCAGCAUUCACAGGAAUUUCUCGUACGACAUGGAUUCAACCGAGUCGGGUAGCUUGAGAUCGCUGCUCUAAUAGGUGGUAAACUUCAUCUAAGCCUAAAUACUGGUGGGAGACCGAUAGCGAACAAGUACCGUGAGGGAAAGAUGGAAAGCACUUUGAAAAGAGGGUGAAAAGUACCUGAAACCGCCACGGGGGAAGCGUAUUGUAUCAGUGUGGUGCGGCGUCUGUUCAGCAAACUUCGGUUUGUGUAUUCAGCGCUAGCUGAGUCGGAAUGGCUGUUGGAUUGUGGAUGUUGCACAAUGCCGAUGGUGAGGGCUCCCUUCGGGUGAGGAUUUCGACAAAAUGAUACGAUUCGACCCGUCUUGAAACACGGACCAAGGAGUUUAGCAUUACUGCGAGUCGAAGAGUGACAAACUCAGAGGCGAAGUGAAAGCGAACAUUUGGAGACCUUAACAGGUUGAGGAGGUGUUGCGUCGUUGACAAAACAUCCUACCUAGAGCAGUAAUGCUGAGACCCGAAAGAUGGUGAACUAUGCCGGAGUAGGGCAAAGCCAGAGGAAACUCUGGUGGAGGCUCGUAGCGAUGCUGACGUGCAAAUCGCUCGUCGAACUUGGGUAUAGGGGCGAAAGACUAAUCGAACCAUCUAGUAGCUGGUUCCCUCCGAAGUUUCUCUCAGGAUAGCGGGCCGACAGUGGGUUGUUUUGUGUGGUAAAGCGAAUGAUUAGCGUAUUUGGGGACGUAAUGUCUUCGGUCGAUUCUCAAACUUUAAAUACGCAAGAUAGAGGUGGUUGCUUAAUUGAACCUCUCUACUGAAAACGUCGGCCCUGUGGGCCACUUUUGGUAAGCAGAACUGGCGAUAUGGGAUGAACCAUAAGUUUGGUUAAGGCGUCAAAAUACCCGCUUAUAGAUCCCACAAAAGGUGUUGGUUCAUCUAGACAGCAGGACGGUGGCCAUGAAGUCGAAUCCGACGGUGGCCAUGGAAGUCGGAAUCCGCUAAGGAGUGUGUAACAACUCACCUGCCGAAUGAACUAGCCCUGAAAAUGGAUGACGCUUAAGCGGGUUGCCGACACCAGACCGUUUUGGUAAGAAGCGACCAAAAUGAGUAGGAGGGCGUGGCGGUCUUGUUGAGAAGGAUGAGACGCAAGUCUAUCUGAAACGGCCGCUAGUGCAGAUCUUGGUGGUAGUAGCAAAUAUUCAAGCGAGAUCCUUGAAGGGCGAAGCGGGGAAGGGUUCCACGCGAACAUUGAUUGGGCGUGGGUGAGUCGUUCCUAAGCCGGGUGGUAAUCGUUCUUACGAUCGGCGAAAGGGAAGCGGGUUAAAAUUCUCGCACACGGAUGUGGAGGCGGUGACGCAAAUUGAGGUGGAGACGUUAGCGGUGGCACUGGGCAGAGUUGUCUUUUCUGUUUAACCUGUGAGUGCACUCUGUGGAAUCCGAUUAUCGGGAGAAACAGGUGUUAAUGGGAAGAGCGUCGGGGCGUCCCCGGCGUCCAGUACGCCAGCGAUAGCCCUUGAAAAUCCAUCUGCAAUGAAAUUUCACGCCGUGGCGUACCGAUAACCGCAUCAGGUCCCCAAGGUGAACAGCCUCUGCUCAAUAUGAACAAUGCAGGUAAGGGAAGUCGGCAAAAUAGACCCGUAACUUUGGGAAAAGGGUUGGCUCUAGUGGGGUGGAGGAUUUCAUACUGGAUCAUUGGGAUUUGGUGUUGUUGGUCGGGCGGAGUUAACUGUGGCAACACGGUUUCGGCUCUUCCUGAUCGCUUCGCUGAGUUUGGAUGGUCCGACCUCCAGCAUGCUCCAAACUAGAACUGCAACGGGCAAAGGGAAUCCGACUGUUUAAUUAAAACAAAGCAUUGCGAUGGCCGAGGUCGGUGUAGACGCAAUGUGAUUUCUGCCAAGUGCUCUGAUUGCAACGGGCCAAGGGAAUCCGACUGUUUAAUUAAAACAAAGCAUUGCGAUGGCCGAGGUCGGUGUAGACGCAAUGUGAUUUCUGCUCAGUGCUCUGAAUGUCAAAGUGAAGAGAUUCAAACAAGCGCGGGUAAACAGCGGGAGUAACUAUGACUCUCUUAAGGUAGCCAAAUGCCUCGUCAUCUAAUUAGUGACGCGCAUGAAUGGAUUAACGAGAUUCCUACUGUCCCUAUCUGCUUCUAGCGAAACCACAGCCGAGGGAACGGGCUCGGCGAAAUCGGCGGGGAAAGAAGACCCUGUUGAGCUUGACUCUAUUCUAAUUUUGUGACGCAAGUUAGGAGGUGUAGCAUAGGUGGGAGACUUCGGUCGCCAAUGAAAUACCACUACUCUUAAUCUUGUUUUACUUAUGGCGUUAGACUGCACGAUCUAUAUGGUCUAUUUUAGCAUCAACUUGGAUUAUGGCACAUGCUCCUCCCAUAGAGUAGUGUUACCUUGGAGCAGCGCGCCUGACAUAUUUAGGAGGGGAGUUUGGCUGGGGCGGCACAUCUUCUACAAGACAACGAAGGUGUCCAAAGAUAAGCUCAGUGAGAACAGAAAUCUCACGUAGCGCAAAAGGGUAAAAGCUUGUUUGAUUUCGAUUUUCAGUGUGAGUUGAAAACGCGAAAGCGUGGCCUAUCGAUCCUUUCACAAUUCGAGGUUUGAAGCGAGA